GCAUAGGCUAAACUGCAGCUUAUGAUUGUCACUGAAUUAUAGAAGUUUUAUUUCAUGAAUAAACAUAAAUGAAUAUGUAUGAAAUGCCUCUAUUCCCUGCUACAAAACAUUUGCCUUUGAAGUCGCCACUUGGCUAGUUUGGAUCUGAGUUGAACAUUUAGCAAAAGUUAAAAUGUAAUGCCAAACUUCAUUGGUUGGAUUUUUUAUUAGAUAAGGUAGAAAUGAAAGCAGCAGGCAAUUUAAUUAGCAGUAAUUUUUCUGGGCAAGUCAUUACUUUGAUGAACUUCAGAGCAAUGUUUAUGGCUCCUAAUUAACCAUGUUAGUCAUUUGAUUGAAUAAUCACUUUGGAAAUGUUUCUACAAUUUGAUUAGAGUCUGACCCACUCUGAUGGUCAUAAAUUAACUGAUAUCACUUUAGGAUAACAUGACUUUAGUUACUUUAGGGAAAUAAACUCCUCUUAACCAUAUUUUUUUCAGGCUUCUCUUUUCUGUAUGAAGGAUGCUGAAUUUAAAGACAGACUGAAUUUAGACAAUGCAGCCAAGUGUCUCAAUUUCAAGAGCUAGAUGUUAAUUUUAUUUACCCUGAGGUGUAAUAAAUAGUAUAAGAUCUGGCAUAAACACAAAUAUAUUCUCAUAUAUGCAUUUUUUUUUUCUAAAUUGCUGUUUGAUGCUUU
RNAcentral lists this long non-coding RNA (673 nucleotides) under Bos taurus (domestic cattle). RNAcentral's name for it is "long non-coding RNA NONBTAT019314". Lineage: Eukaryota; Metazoa; Chordata; Mammalia; Artiodactyla; Bovidae. The record is from RNAcentral.